UUAGCUCAUAUUUGUAUGGAAUGGGAUCGUUUGCGUACGUUUGCCGUUAAGGGCGCUGUUCCAACUGCAUACAAAAUUGGGUUA
This 84-nucleotide microRNA precursor is filed under the name Bombyx mori (domestic silkworm). RNAcentral's name for it is "mir-2807 microRNA precursor family". It matches the Rfam family "mir-2807 microRNA precursor family". Lineage: Eukaryota; Metazoa; Arthropoda; Insecta; Lepidoptera; Bombycidae. The record is from Rfam by way of RNAcentral.